AGAGUUUGAUCCUGGCUCAGGAUGAACGCUAGCUACAGGCUUAACACAUGCAAGUCGAGGGGCAGCAUGGUCUUAGCUUGCUAAGGCCGAUGGCGACCGGCGCACGGGUGAGUAACACGUAUCCAACCUGCCGUCUACUCUUGGACAGCCUUCUGAAAGGAAGAUUAAUACAAGAUGGCAUCAUGAGUCCACAUGUUCACAUGAUUAAAGGUAUUCCGGUAGACGAUGGGGAUGCGUUCCAUUAGAUAGUAGGCGGGGUAACGGCCCACCUAGUCGACGAUGGAUAGGGGUUCUGAGAGGAAGGUCCCCCACAUUGGAACUGAGACACGGUCCAAACUCCUACGGGAGGCAGCAGUGAGGAAUAUUGGUCAAUGGGCGCGAGCCUGAACCAGCCAAGUAGCGUGAAGGAUGACUGCCCUACGGGUUGUAAACUUCUUUUAGCAGGGACGAAGAACGUGACGGUACCUGCAGAAAAAGCAACGGCUAACUACGUGCCAGCAGCCGCGGUAAUACGUAGGUUGCAAGCGUUGUCCGGAUUUACUGGGUGUAAAGGGCGUGUAGGCGGAGAUGCAAGUUAGGAGUGAAAUCCAUGGGCUCAACCCAUGAACUGCUUCUAAAACUGUAUCCCUUGAGUAUCGGAGAGGCAAGCGGAAUUCCUAGUGUAGCGGUGAAAUGCGUAGAUAUUAGGAGGAACACCAGUGGCGAAGGCGGCUUGCUGGACGACAACUGACGCUGAGGCGCGAAAGCGUGGGGAGCAAACAGGAUUAGAUACCCUGGUAGUCCACGCUGUAAACGAUGAAUACUAGGUGUGGGAGGACUGACCCCUUCCGUGCCGCAGUUAACACAAUAAGUAUUCCACCUGGGGAGUACGACCGCAAGGUUGAAACUCAAAGGAAUUGACGGGGGCCCGCACAAGCAGUGGAUUAUGUGGUUUAAUUCGACGCGACGCGAAGAACCUUACCAGGAUUUGACAUCCAACUAACGAAGUAGAGAUACAUUAGGUGCCCUUCGGGGAAAGUUGAGACAGGUGGUGCAUGGUUGUCGUCAGCUCGUGUCGUGAGAUGUUGGGUUAAGUCCCGCAACGAGCGCAACCCCUAUUGUUAGUUGCUACGCAAGAGCACUCUAGCGAGACUGCCGUUGACAAAACGGAGGAAGGCGGGGACGACGUCAAAUCAUCAUGCCCCUUAUGUCCUGGGCUACACACGUAAUACAAUGGUGGUUAACAGAGGGAAGCAAGACAGUGAUGUGGAGCAAAUCCCUAAAAGCCAUCUCAGUUCGGAUUGCAGGCUGCAACUCGCCUGCAUGAAGCUGGAAUUGCUAGUAAUCGCGGAUCAGCAUGCCGCGGUGAAUACGUUCCCGGGCCUUGCACUCACCGCCCGUCAAG
This 1384-nucleotide ribosomal RNA is filed under the name uncultured bacterium. RNAcentral describes it as "bacterial SSU rRNA". It matches the Rfam family "Bacterial small subunit ribosomal RNA". The record is from RNAcentral.